RNAcentral lists this ribosomal RNA (459 nucleotides) under uncultured bacterium. Its description in RNAcentral is "bacterial SSU rRNA". It matches the Rfam family "Bacterial small subunit ribosomal RNA", at positions 923 to 1379 of the family's 1533-position model. The record is from RNAcentral.
GCACAAGCGGUGGAGCAUGUGGUUUAAUUCGACGCAACGCGAAGAACCUUACCUAGGCUUGACAUGCAUGGGAAAGCCCUGAGAAACCAGGGCCCCUCUUCGGAGUCCAUGCACAGGUGCUGCAUGGCUGUCGUCAGCUCGUGUCGUGAGAUGUUGGGUUAAGUCCCGCAACGAGCGCAACCCCCGUUUCUAGUUGCCAGCGGGUAAUGCCGGGGACUCUAGAAAGACUGCCGGUGCCAAACCGGAGGAAGGUGGGGAUGACGUCAAGUCAUCAUGGUCCUUACGUCUAGGGCUACACACGUGCUACAAUGAUCGGUACAGAGGGUUGCCAACUCGCGAGAGUGCGCCAAUCCCAGAAAGCCGAUCUCAGUGCGGAUUGGAGGCUGCAACUCGCCUCCAUGAAGCUGGAAUCGCUAGUAAUCGUGGAUCAGCUACGCCACGGUGAAUACGUUCCCGGGC